UAGCGUUGUGCGGAACUACUGGGCGUAAAGCGCACGUAGGCUGCACUGCAAGGCAGGGAUGAAAUCCCGGGGCUCAACCGCGGAACUGCCCGUGAAACUGCAGCGCUAGAAUCUUGGAGAGGCGAGUGGAAUUCCGAGUGUAGAGGUGAAAUUCGUAGAUAUUCGGAAGAACACCAGUGGCGAAGGCGACUCGCUGGACAAGUAUUGACGCUGAGGUGCGAAAGCGUGGGGAGCAAACAGG
This 241-nucleotide ribosomal RNA is filed under the name uncultured bacterium. Its description in RNAcentral is "partial 16S ribosomal RNA". It matches the Rfam family "Bacterial small subunit ribosomal RNA", at positions 536 to 776 of the family's 1533-position model. The record is from RNAcentral.